RNAcentral lists this long non-coding RNA (4299 nucleotides) under Sorghum bicolor (sorghum). RNAcentral's name for it is "long non-coding RNA (SBIC_LNC015207)". The record is from RNAcentral. Lineage: Eukaryota; Viridiplantae; Streptophyta; Magnoliopsida; Poales; Poaceae.
UUAAUCAAUCCAGUGACUAGUCUUUGUAGUUAUUCAAUUUCUUUUGUCACAGCAAACCAGCACAUUUCACAGAAUACAUAAUAAGCAUAUCAAUUACGUUUACCAACAACAUUACACAGACAAAUAAUGCCGCGCGCGCGUGCAUGCACAUGAAUAGCAGCUUAUUCAUACAUCAUACAACUUAUUCAUAACACAAGAAGCCAUGAUAUAUACGUGCAUAUAUAUAUGUAGACAUUGUGAGACGUACACCUUCCAACACUAUAUCCUUUCGGUUUUUUAAUUGCCCCAAUCAAGAGGUUAAAAGUGUUGGUUAAAACCUGCGUUGGCGUCGAUUGUUAAAACUGGUCUUUCACCAUCCAGGGCAAACCGGCCGGUGACUUCUUGUUGGACAGGUAAUGUGGUGCCGGCUUGGUCAUUGAGGCCAAAUGUGCCAUGGUCGAAUUGGUUGAUGAGGACACCAUCUUCAUGAUCAUGAGUGAGGUCAGGCAACGCACCGUAGGGUCGUGCGUGUGCACAAGCUGCAAACAGGAGAACUAUGGCGAUAACGACCAUGGCAGGUAACAACACUACGGACGAUUUGGAACCCAUUGCAUGUAUUGGAAACAAGCACUGAUGUUGUUGCUAAUGUUAGUCACUCGGUUUGUGCCUUCAAGUGUAUCCAUCAACACCACUUAGUAUUUAUAGAUGCAUCGCUGUAGCCAUACCUAAUUUAAUUUCUAUCUCCAUGAAGGCGCAUGAUAAUAAAGAAACCAAAAUGACGAAAAUGUGCUCAUCGACAACGACAUUCAGGAUCGUGACACCAAAUAGAUAAGAUAUACUGCCGUGUUUAAAUGACAUUUUCAGCUCCCUGCAUGAAAUUGCAAGCACACGUCAAGAAAAGUGUGUGCCCAGCCUAUAUUAAUUAGAUAUACGCUAGCAAAUUGCGAGUACAUCAAGAAAAAUGCUCGCCUAAUUCAUUAUCUACGAUCUCUCUCCAUUAUAGCCAUUAUAUGUACAUAUUGUCUGCAAAAUCUAUAAGGGAUAAGGGUGUAUCUUCAAUUAAGCGUCAAUCAUCUUCCUCCUCACGUCCGCACUUGCUGCCGACCUCCUCACUUCCCAUCGUAUGAGUCCUACCCACACCCUUCCCCAGGCAGCUAGCUCCCUGUUGAGUAACUCUGAAUCUAUAAACUCAGCAGCUGUUGCUGUAUCCAAACAAAGUACUACUUUGUUGUAGGUAUACAGUGGUAAACAUUUUGGAUUCAGCUGCAGUUAUAGCGCCCAAUGAUGAGUGCAGCCAAAUCAGGGCCUCAAGGCUUAUGCACAUAUAGUUAUAUUGAUAUCAAGGCAUCAUAUCCUCUACCGGAACAAAAUAAAUUACUUUUUAAGGUUAUUUAACAAAAUAUUGGUUCAAUAUUUUUUAUUUAACUAGGUCCAAAAGACGUAAUAAAAGUUGUGUUGCUUUUUUUGGGGUUGGCAUAGUGGGGUCAAAUUUUGGUCGGAUUCUUCUAUCACGUAAGAUUUUCACAAGAAAAUCAAUGCUUAAAUAUAUAUAUUUGUCCAGGAUGUCUUCAUAUCAUCGGGUAGUCCAUAAAAAAAACUAGAUCAUUGUUCAUGAAUGGCCGGACCAUGACGCGAGGUGAAUUACACAACUUAGAACUCAAUUUUUAACUAUAUGACCUCUUUCUAUAACCUUAGCAAAAUAUACUCCCUCCAUCUUGUAAUAUAGUUCAAUAGCAUUUAAAAUUUGUCUUCAAAUAUAAAGAAUUUUAGAGGACAAAAACUAUUUUUUGCAUUAAAUACUUUCCAUUUAUCAACCAAUCACCACUAAUUAUGUUCAUGAUAACGUCUGAUUAAGAAAUAAAAUAAGGGUACAUAUGUGUCUUUUUGUUCUCUCUUAAUUUGUCUUAAAAUUUCUAGAAUGCUUGUCUUAAAAUUCCUAGAAUACAUUAUAUUACAGGAUAGAGGGAGUAUGCAAUAAAGUAAUCAUCUAAAUAUGUAACUAUGGUUUUACUAGUUGUAUUGUUAUAUCUUAACACAAAAAAGACGAACGAACUCGCCAAUACUGCUGCUAAGCCAUGGGCCAUGGCUAAAAGUACUGUUCAUUGAUUUGUUGUGAGAGAAAAACAUUGCUGAAUGACUGAUAAAUUCGAUAGAUAAGCUCAAGCGAACAUGUUUAAUCAUUCCAUAAAUGUUGGAAGUACGUAAAGAAAAUUGCAUACAUAAUUUAUUAUGUAGUACUGGAGUAGCACAUUAAGUAUUACGUGGAGAAAAAUAUAUGUUCACCACAUUUCCUACACGUGCAUUAUUGGCAAUGGUGAUGGCCAGGCCAGGGGAUGCCACACCGUAGCCACACCCUAAAAAAUGUAUAUCUCUUUUCAAAAAAAAAUGUAUAUCUGAUGGAAUAAAUAAAUUAAUUGCUUUCGGCAAGAGGUCUCAGGAUAAAGUGCACGGAUCAAUUGAAGUAAUAUCUGAAUAUGGAUGGAUCAGAGAUUUGCGAUAUAGAGAAAUGAUAUUCGAUCGUAAAAUAGCUCUUCUAGGGGUAUAUAUAUUUCACUGAAUUCUAGGGCUAGUGGCCAAUAAAGUGCACACGGAUCAAUUGAAGUAAUUCUGAAUGGGAAACGUGGGGACGCGGAGGGAGCGUGGAGGGGAGGGACUGACAAGUGGGCCCUGCCUUCCCUUGCCAUCCAUAUUAUUAGUUUUAAACUACCGUUGAAACCAGCUCAAUGCCAAAUAUAAAUAAACAGUUUUAGUUCUAGAGUUGGAUGGCCAAAACUCUAGUCUAGCUAUAGUUGAAUGGUCAAAAAUAGACUUUUUCCUUUAAAAAGCAAAUUGAACUUUGCUCUAGUGGUCAAAUAUAGAACCUGUCUACCUAGGUUCAAACUCUAGACUUAAUACAGGUGCUCAUCAGUUCAUUCGCCUCAGAUUGGUUGAGGGCGUGCAACAUUAUUUUUUUUAGUCUAUUAGGGCACUCAUAAUACACAAACUAUGAUAUAGUUUCUAUAGAUAUUAAUUACACUGCCACGUAGCCAAUUUGUUGAUGUAGCAAGUGAUUUAAUGAAGAGAGAAAAAAAAUCCAAGAAACUAAGUCUAACUAAUAAACUGGGUCUUCACGGUUAUCGAUGGAUAAACUACUUUAACCGUGUUGGGAGAGCAAACAUGGUUUCUAUCACUAGUUAUGUCCUAUGCUAUAGAAAAUUUUGUAGCGGAAAGGAUAAUUUUUUUGGUACAAUGUCAUAUGCUAUAGAAGCUACUUAUAGUUUCUUGCAUUGUUGGUGCCCUUAGAAUAGUCCUAAUGCUAGAAAACCGCAGAUAGUUUAGAAACUAUAUUCUUACCAGAUAGUUUCUAUUUUUUCCAAUCACAUGUCUCAUUUAAUUGCUUGUCACAUUAGCAAAAUGGUUAGGUGUUGGAGUACGUAAUUAAUGCACAUAAAAACUAUGAUGGUAUACAUUCAAUAUAAAUACUAUAUAGGACAGUAAUAAUAAUGUCAUUUGCCUAUGGUAAUUAGUUUAAUUUUUAGGGUUGAACUAUGAACUUUUGAACGCUCUGUGUGUCUAGUUUUUGCCCGUGAUAGAUGGAGAUUGAACCACGUAAAACUAUACGUAGGUACUUAAUUAGUUAUUGAAUUUCUUGUGUCACAGAAAAACAACGAUAUUUCACACAGUACAUAAUACAUAUAUAAGCAAAUCUCAAUUACGUUUACUGACAAUGCCACACAGACACAUGGCGGCUAAAAUGUAAUGCCGCGCGUGCAUGCAUGCACGUAAGAGCAGCUUAUUCAUACAUAAUAAGACAACUUAUUCAUAACACAAGAAGCCGUGAUAUAUAUAGCUAUAAAUCGCGUACAUGUAUAUAUGUAUACCUUGUGCGACACCUAUCAACACUACAUAAGGAGCCCUUUUGGUUUUUCAACUUCCCCUGCCUGUGCACCUGUCUUGACAUUGAUCGUAACUGUCCCUGCCUGUACACCCGUGUUGAUCUUGACCGCAACACUACCAUCCGGGGCAAACCCGGUGACUUCUUGUCGGACAGGUAAUGUGGCACCGGCUUCUUCUAGGUUGAGAUCAAGUGCGCCAUGGUGGUAUAAUUGGUCACCAUCUUCUUCAUGGGCGAGGUCAUCAGACAAGGGUCGUGCUUGUGCAGAUAAAGCUGCAAACAGGAGAACCAUGGCGAUGACGACCAUGGCAGGUAACACUACGGAUUUGGAACAGCCCAUUGCAGGUAUUGGAAGGAAGCACGCUGAUGCUGUUGCUAAUCUCAGUCACUCGGUUUGUGCCUUCAAGUGUAUCGAUCAACACCCCUUAGUAUUUAUAGACGCGUCG